RNAcentral lists this ribosomal RNA (253 nucleotides) under uncultured bacterium. RNAcentral's name for it is "partial 16S ribosomal RNA". It matches the Rfam family "Bacterial small subunit ribosomal RNA", at positions 524 to 776 of the family's 1533-position model. The record is from RNAcentral.
UACAGAGGGUGCAAGCGUUAAUCGGAAUUACUGGGCGUAAAGCGUGCGUAGUCGGUUAUCUAAGUCGGGUGUGAAAUCCCCAGGCUUAACCUGGGAACUGCAUUCGAGACUGCAUAGCUAGAGUAUGGGAGAGGGAAGUGGAAUUUCAGGUGUAGCGGUGAAAUGCGUAGAUAUCUGAAGGAACAUCAGUGGCGAAAGCGACUUCCUGGACCAAUACUGACGCUCAUGUGCGAAAGCGUGGGGAGCAAACAGG